This 70-nucleotide non-coding RNA is filed under the name Alexandrium minutum. The record is from RNAcentral. Lineage: Eukaryota; Dinophyceae; Gonyaulacales; Pyrocystaceae.
ACUUUUUUUUUUUUUUUUUUUUUUUUUUUUUUUUUUUUUUUUUUUUUUUUUUUUUCCGCGCUCGCUGCAU